UACGAAGGGGGCUAGCGUUGCUCGGAAUUACUGGGCGUAAAGGGCGCGUAGGCGGCACUGUUAGUCAGGCGUGAAAUUCCUGGGCUCAACCUGGGGACUGCGCUUGAUACGGCAGAGCUUGAGGAUGGAAGAGGGUCGCGGAAAUCCCAGUGUAGAGGUGAAAUUCGUAGAUAUUGGGAAGAACACCGGUGGCGAAGGCGGCGACCUGGUCCAUUACUGACGCUGAGGCGCGACAGCGUGGGGAGCAAACAGG
RNAcentral lists this ribosomal RNA (253 nucleotides) under uncultured bacterium. Its description in RNAcentral is "partial 16S ribosomal RNA". It matches the Rfam family "Bacterial small subunit ribosomal RNA", at positions 524 to 776 of the family's 1533-position model. The record is from RNAcentral.